UCUAAUAUGGCAGAUAAGUGCGGUGGAUUUAAGCUCCACAUAUAAAGUAUACAACUUUUAUUAGAA
RNAcentral lists this transfer RNA (66 nucleotides) under Porotermes adamsoni (Australian dampwood termite). Its description in RNAcentral is "tRNA-Leu". Lineage: Eukaryota; Metazoa; Arthropoda; Insecta; Blattodea; Termopsidae. The record is from RNAcentral.